This 2746-nucleotide long non-coding RNA is filed under the name Salmo salar (Atlantic salmon). Its description in RNAcentral is "lncRNA (ENSSSAG00000103510.1)". The record is from RNAcentral. Lineage: Eukaryota; Metazoa; Chordata; Actinopteri; Salmoniformes; Salmonidae.
GCCCAACAAUAGGUCUGCACUGCUCCCUUUGCCACAAGCCAGUUGAAGGGAAUGGGGGAGUGAGAGAGAGAGAAAGAGGAGGAGAGGAGAAAAAAAUCAAGAAAAGUGGACGGGGAGAAAGGAGAAGGGAACCGAGAGAGUUGGCGUGAAAGAAAGAGAGGGGCAGAUGGAGGUGAGGGAGAGAGAGGUAAUGGAAGAGGAUCUGUCACUGGGGUAUUCCACCAUGGGAUGGGUGACAGAGAGGUGGAGGAGAAGAGAGGAUGGAGGGGCCAGUUAAUCGAUGUUUUAAAAGGUUUCACUCCUCAGAGACCUUCACACACACCAACUCUCUCCUACACCAACAACCCCAUGCACUCUCACUGAAAAACACACAUUCUAUCCAUUACUUUCAUCAAUAGAACAGACCAAGGCCAGAGCAGCCAUGACGAUGUUUUCAUCCAAAAUAACAUGCUAGCUAAGUAGCUAUGAUUUCAGACAGGAACCAGGGAUUCAGGGGAAGGGCUGUGUGUGUGAUUCUGGUGUACAAAGUGCAGUGCUUAUUUAUGUACAGGCCAGCCACAAGGAGCAAAUGAGAUCAACCAAUCACAGCUGAUAAAAGACAGAGGAUGUCCUCUUUCCACUUCUCACACACACACACACACACACACACACACACACACACACACACACACACACACACACACACACACACACACACACACACACACACACACACACACACACACACACACACACACACACACACACACACACACACACACGACUACUGAUAGCAUGGUGAUAUUUAAACAGACAGACAGGUGUUCACCUUCACACACAUUAACACUGAAAGAAUGCAAGCUGGUUUAAUGCUGACUACAGUAGAUUAUCAUUCUCUACAUGUGGCUGGUUUGAUCCCUUCAUAAAUGGGUUGUUUUGUGAGAGCACUCUGAGCUGAACUUUCCUUUGGGACAACCCAUCUCCUCAAGACACACACACACACACACACACACACACGCACACGCACACACCCCUCUGGGACAUAUUGUGUGAAACGUGCUCUCUCUCACACACAUACUUUUCAUACUAAAGGCCCUACCUAGUAAUACACACAAAUAUCUCAAAUACACUGCUUGGCCAGUAUUAGUGACUCACACAUACACACAGGUUCCCCUAAGCAACACACACACACACAUCCAGGUGCACUCACACGGUUAUAAGGGAAACCACAUCCUUACUUGAGAUAAAUUGGCUCAAAGUUCAAAAUGAACAGUGACGCAGGUACAUAGAGGACAGGGCAGGUACAUAGAGGACAGGGCAGGUACAUAGAGGACAGGGCAGGUACAUAGAGGACAGGGCAGGUACAUAGAGGACAGGGCAGGUACAUAGAGGACAGGGCAGGUACAUAGAGGACAGGGCAGGUCUACACAAGGAGAGAGGGAGGAGAAAACACAAAAGAUCGACAGCGGGGAAAUAGAGAGAGAGGUUGAAAAGAAACUCUUCAAACGUGAUCUCACAUUCCUGACUAGGGGUGGAGGGGAGAGAGAGAGCGAGAGAAGAGGGAGGGGUGGAGGGGAGAGAGAGCGAGAGAAGAGGGAGGGGUGGAGGGGAGAGAGAGAGCGAGAGAAGAGGGAGGGGUGGAGGGGAGAGAGAGCGAGAGAAGAGGGAGGGGGGAGAGAGAGAGCGAGAGAAGAGGGAGGGGUGGAGGGGAGAGAGAGCGAGAGAAGAGGGAGGGGUGGAGGGGAGAGAGAGAGCGAGAGAAGAGGGAGGGGUGGAGGGGAGAGAGAGAGCGAGAGAAGAGGGAGGGGUGGAGGGGAGAGAGAGAGCGAGAGAAGAGGGAGGGGUGGGGGAGAGAGAGAGCAAGAGAAGAGGGAGGGGUGGAGGGGAGAGAGAGAGCGAGAGAAGAGGGAGGGGUGGGGGGAGAGAGAGAGCGAGAGAAGAGGGAGGGGUGGGAGAGAGAGCGAGAGAAGAGGGAGGGGUGGGGGAGAGAGAGAGAGCGAGAGAAGAGGGAGGGGUGGAGGGGAGAGAGAGCGAGAGAAGAGGGAGGGGUGGGAGAGAGAGCGAGAGAAGAGGGAGGGGUGGGAGAGAGAGCGAGAGAAGAGGGAGGGGUGGGAGAGAGAGAGAGAAGAGGGAGGGGUGGAGGAGAGAGAGAGGGUAACAGGCGGUGGAAAGCGGGAGAGAGAAAGUUUUAGGUGGCACCAGGCGGCAUUUGAAUACUCAACAGCCGACCACACACACACACACACACACACACACACACACUAAGUAUCAGUGAGGUGCAAUUGGCACAGUAGUCUUUUUGUGACUUCCCAUCCUCUAGAAUUAGAUAUCUGUUCUCUCUCCCUCUCCCAAGCAGAGACAGAUUCCCAGAUAAAAAUAGGCUGAAGUAUUCCAGUCCUCCUCCCAUUCUACAGCCAGGCUUUGAGAUAGAGGGUGAGUGUCAUAUUAUGGGUUAGCAGCCCAGUGUAAGCCUGGUGAGGAGGAGGACAUCCUAACACAACAGCUGUUGUGCAGACAUCAUGACCUAGCCUGAUUUUGGUGUACAGGAGUGAACUGUGGAGAAUGAGAAGUCUGUAUGUGUGACUCCUUUGUGUUAAUUUAGCGGUGUACAGAAAUGAACCUCUCUCUCUAUUUCCCCGCUGUCGAUCUUUUGUGUUUUCUCCUCCCUCUCUCCUUGUGUAGGCCUGCCCUGUCCUCUAUGUACCUGCCCUGUCCUCUAUGUACCUGCCCUGUCCUCUAUGUACCUGCCCUGUCCUCUAUGUACCUG